Molecule: unclassified non-coding RNA, 345 nt
Filed under: soil metagenome
Description: partial contains 5.8S ribosomal RNA, internal transcribed spacer 2, and large subunit ribosomal RNA
Rfam family: 5.8S ribosomal RNA (bases 1-120)
Source: RNAcentral
GAUGAAGAACGCAGCGAAAUGCGAUAAGUAAUGUGAAUUGCAGAAUUCCGUGAAUCAUCGAAUCUUUGAACGCACAUUGCGCCCUCUGGUAUUCCGGGGGGCAUGCCUGUCCGAGCGUCAUUGCAACCCUCAAGCGCGGCUUGUGUGUUGGGCCUCCGUCCUCCUCCCGGGGGACGGGCCCGAAAGGCAGCGGCGGCACCGCGUCCGGUCCUCGAGCGUAUGGGGCUUCGUCACCCGCUCUUGUAGGCCCGGCCGGCGCUUGCCGACACAUCAAUCUUUUUUCCAGGUUGACCUCGGAUCAGGUAGGGAUACCCGCUGAACUUAAGCAUAUCAAUAAGCGGAGGA